Molecule: RNA transcript, 3733 nt
Organism: Manis pentadactyla (Chinese pangolin)
Lineage: Eukaryota; Metazoa; Chordata; Mammalia; Pholidota; Manidae
Gene: ADAM18
Gene name: ADAM metallopeptidase domain 18
Exons: 20
Source: RefSeq, a predicted model, not a curated record
AAGAAAACUAUUAUUCCCAUAUUUCAUCAUCCAGAUUCCUAUCUUCCAAUUUAAUAUACUAAAACAGAGACUAGAACAAAGAGUUUGAUGUCAAUUUUGUUUUAAAGUAAUUUAGAAAUAGAUAAUGUUAACUGAUGUUAUCAGCCAUCCAUGAACUCCCGUACUUAAGGCUCUAGGGCUAGAGUGACUGAGUGGAGGGAGUGAGGGAUGAGUGUGGUUUUGAACAUGUGUGUGUGGAACAUGUGUUGGAAAUGCACGGAGGACUUUUGGAAGUACUCUUCCUCUGCAGAUAAAAAUAGACAAAUUAACAGUAAUUAUUAUCUAUUUCCUCACAUAUUUUUAUUGUUCUUGUCCUCUCUGUUUUCUUGCUGAUUUUCUUUUACCAUGUGAACUGUAGAGACUGUGUACAUGAAACACACAUAAACUCCAGGUUAUAAUAUUCCUUUUAAUGUGGCUUCACAGACGAUAAGGAAAAAGAAACGGGUUUGCAAAUUUCGCAGACACAGGCAUAGAUGGUGACAGUAUAACCAGCGUCUUUUAUACUAAAUACUUGCUACACCUGUGGUUGCAUAGUAAAAUUUGACAGCUUUGUUGACAGUCAAAACUUAGCAUUUCUAUUUUUCUAUAUUUCUUUUACAACAGUGACUAAAGAAUAAUGUUAAAAGCCAUAGGUUGGAGAAAAGGUAUUACCAAGACCCUCACCAUUACCUGACCUGAUGCAAGAACGAGAAAAAACAAUCGGCUCUUCAUUCCUUUUGUUGUGGCUCCAAGCUCUCAAUUUCACAAACCCAAAUAAAUCCUGGGAGUGACAGCACAUAGGCUGCGGGCUGCGGGCUCUUCCUGCCGCCGCGAUCCCCUGGGAGGAAGCAGGCGGCUCCGCCCCUCGGGGGACUCGGAGGCCCCCCAUCCCGCUGAACCCCCUCUGCCCGCCGCCGCCGCGCGGGGUGCCGGGCCGCCCGCUGCUCCCGCCGCGGAAAGGACCCCGCAGCCCGCGCCCCGCCGGGAGCUCAGGGCUCCCCUGCCCUCUCCGCUCUGGGCUUUGGAGUACUGAGAGGAGGGGCCGCGGGAAGGCCGGCGCCGGGCGCCCAGAGAGUCGCCAGCACUCAUCCCGCCUUCGGGAAUUGCCACCGCUGAGCCCCGGGUAGUAGGUAACCUUGUGCUACCUGGGCCUCAGGUGAGGCGGGAUGCAGGAGCCUCGGUCCCGGGGGCGCCGGGCUGGCUGCUCCUUCGCCCCGAGGCCCAGCUUGUCCGGGCGCGAUGUCCUUGCCCCGGGGCCGGGCGCCCCGUCUUCCUCUCACCGAGACGGGUGCCCCUCCGCGUGCCGCCCGGCGCCGCGCACGCCUUCGUCAGUGCCCACGGGGCCGCCGGGUCAGAGCGCCCCGGGGGGGGGUCGGGGACGGGGGGCAGAAACCUUCCACACAGACGUUCGCGGGGCUCCUUCCUCUGCCCCCCGCCGGGCGGACGCAGCGCCGGAGACCCGGGCCGCGAGGCUGGCAAUUACCCCGCGGCUGCAGGCGGCGCGGGUCGCGUCGCCCGCGCCCCUCAGGCCAGGACGCCAGCCGGUCAGCGUCGCCCCGCGCCCGCCGCGAGCCUGGGGCCGCAAACGGUCCGCAGCGACGCCCCGGCCAUGCUGCUGCUGCUCGGCCUGCUCGGCCUGCUCUCCGGGCUGGCGCCGUCGCCCGCCCGUCUGGAGACUGAAGGAAUAUUCCUGCAUGUCACGGUUCCACGGAAAGUAAGGUCAAACCAGAGUGUUGAUUCAGAAAAGCAGGUGAUUUAUAUCAUUACAAUUGAUGAAAAAACAUACACUCUGCAUCUCAGAAAACACUCAUUUUUAUCCCAGAACUUUGUGGUUUAUUCAUAUAAUGAAACUGGAUUUUUGCAUUCUGAAUCUUCAUAUUUUAAGAUGCAUUGCCAUUACCAAGGAUAUGUUUCCAAUUUUCCAUACUCAGCUGCAAUGCUCAGUAUCUGCUCUGGACUCAGGGGAUUCCUUCAGUUUGAAAACAUCACCUAUGGAAUUGAGCCAUUGGAAUCUUCAGCAAGAUUUGAGCACAUAAUUUAUCAAGUGAAAAAUGGAAAUCCAGAUAUACCAAUGCUAGCAGAAAAUUAUAGCUAUAUUUGGCAGAAAGACCAACCCUACAAAAUUCAUUUAAGCUCACAGCAAAAAAUUAUUUCAAAACUAUUACCUCAAUAUCUAAAAAUGCACAUCAUAGUGGAAAAAGCUUUGGCAAGUAUGAAAAAGGCUGCAGUGAACUUGGGAGUGCAGAUCGCCCUCCUGACAGUGUAUGAUUAUAUGGGAUCAGAAAUGAUGGCUGUAACACAGAAAAUUAUCCAGAUUAUUGGCCUUGUCAACACUAUGUUUUCUCAGUUCAAACUGACUGUGAUAUUGUCUUCUUUGGAACUGUGGAGAGAUAAAAACCAAAUUCCUACCAGUGGGGAUGCUGAUGAUUUAUUACAGAGAUUUGUGACAUGGAAACAGGGCUCUCUUACCCUACGGCCCCACGACACAGCAUUCUUGCUUAUUUACAGGAAACAUCCUAAAUAUGUGGGAGCAACAUUUCCUGGCACAAUAUGCAAUAAAAGCUAUGAUGCAGGUAUUGCUAUGUAUCCAGAUGCAAUAACUUUGGAGGGAUUUUCAGUUAUUAUAGCUCAACUACUUGGCCUUAAAAUUGGAUUAACAUAUGAUGACAUCAAUAAGUGUUCUUGUCCAAGAGCUACGUGCAUAAUGAAUCAUGAAGCAUUGGGAUCCAGUGGUAUAAAGAUUUUUAGCAACUGUAGCAUGCAUGACUAUAGAUAUUUUAUUUCAAAACUUGAGGGUAAAUGUCUUCAGAACUUACCAAAGUUGCAACCAUCAUAUCAAAAUCAAUCAGUGUGUGGUAAUGGGAUUCUGGAACCUGACGAAGAAUGUGACUGUGGCAGUGAAGCGGAAUGUCUAUUUAAGGAGUGCUGUGAUUACAAAACAUGUAAACUGAAAGGCUCAGCAAAAUGUGGUUCUGGACCAUGCUGUACUUCAAGCUGUGAGAUAUCAGUGGUGGGCACUCCAUGCAGAAAGAGUGUUGAUCAAGAGUGUGAUUUCACAGAGUACUGCAAUGGGACCUCCAGUACUUGCGUUCCGGACACCUACGCGCUCAAUGGCCAGCUGUGCAGGUCGGAGACCGCGUUCUGCUAUGACGGACGGUGCCAAACUGCUGAUAAACAGUGUGCCCAGAUAUUUGGAAAAGGUGCUCAAGGAGCUCCGUUUGCCUGUUUUGAAGAAGUUAAUUCUCUGCAUGAUAGUUCUGGAAAGUGCGGUUUUAAAAAUUCACAACCAUUGCCUUGCAAACAGAAGGAUGUUCUCUGUGGAAAACUAGCUUGUGUUUGGCCACAUAAGAAUACUUACAAAAAUGAUGUUCAAUCUGCAGUUUAUUCAUAUACUCAAGGGCACGAAUGCCUCUCUGUAACUACAGGGUCAUUAGUGAGAUCAGAUGGAAGAGGUCAUGCCUAUGUAGCUGAUGGCACUAUCUGUGGUGCGCAAAUGUAUUGUGUAAAUAAAACCUGCAAGGAAGUUCAUUUAAUGGGAUAUAACUGUAAUGCCACUACAAAAUGCAAAGGGAAUGGGUAAUUCAGCCAUUGUGCCAGAAAACCAUGACCUGGACUAUGCCAAGAAGUUGACCAGCAAAUGUCCUGUUUCCAGAGAAUACGCUGGAACAUCACUUCUGCAAGUUACAGAACCACAGAAGAUCGAGACACACACCAG